UUUACAACAGAAAUUAAACGAUUAAUAUUUAUACCUUAUAUGUAACAUUUAUGCCAAAUGUAGUUAUAGCUACAUGUACCUUGACAUAUGGUUAUGAGCAAAUAUUGCAUGUUUCAUUACAUUAAAAAGUUAAGCAUAUCUCUAUAUUGGGGAUAGAAGGAUAAGAAAUAACAUGUUGAAUUUCUAUUUUCAAAAGAGAUGAAAAGUCCUAUAUUGCGCCUAAGCCCGAUCAGACUUUUAUGAGUAGCCACAGUGCUGCAUGCGUUGAGAAGCAUUUUUUAACUUGUAUUAUAUUUCAUUAUUUGCUGUCAUUGGUUUUCUACUAGAGUAAGCACUCGCAAACAAAAUUACAUGAUGAAUUUUUCACGACAACAUGGGCUCAGGCACUUCUACAACCGAAGGCGAAGGUCGCUUAGGCGAUACCCAUGAAGAAUCCAAGUUUGUUUCCCUUUCCAGCAUACAAUGUGUCCCUUCCCGUAUUUUUGAAACACCUCUCACUGCAUCCGGUAUCAGGAAACAAAGAUGAAGGACUUGGCUACCAGAAAGCCCUUCAAGACCAAGUGUACCCCACCUCCCCACACUGUGAGCUAACGAUGUGCGGCUUCUUUGCGCAUAAGUAAAUGUCUUCACGUCAGUGCGUCCGUGGAAAUUGUGAUCUGUUGUAAUAUCAGUUACAGUGGCAGUAUUGAGAAUAAAUAGUUUAACAGGAAAAAAAAUUUAAGCACAAAGGGUUUUAAAGAUUUUAUGUUUUAAAUGGCAUUUUAGCACAGUAUUUAACGUUCUUGGUCACCGAGCUAUUUAAGUAGACUGUAUUUCAGCUUUGUCUCUUGUUUUAUAUGAUUAAGUUAUCAUUGUUUGUCCUUUGUGUACUCUCCUCCACAGUAUAACACCCUGAAACUGUAUCUACUUGCUGGGUUGCAAUAUUUUGCUGCUGGACUUUGACCUACUUGUAUUAUGCAGAAAGUUAAUUCAGAUACCUAUCGAGACGGUAACUGUAAAGACACUGUUAUCUCCUUAAAUAUGCUUACUUAUAUGUUACUCCUUAACAUGUACGUUGAUGUAGCAUCAUUUUGUGGAUAGGAAAAAAUUGUUUGACCUUCAGAUAUUUUCUACUUAAAAAAAAAAAAAAAACAAGUUGUGGAUGAACACCCUAUCUCCCUCCCACAAUGAAGUCCCCAUUACCUUGUCUAUAACAGUUUUUUAAAGUGUUCCGUGGCUGGUUUACUAACAGUAACUGCCAUUUCGUGUCCGUGGUAACAAAGUGACUUGUAAGAUGGUGGAUGUUUUCCUCACUGUGUUCUUCUCUUCAUGGGUUGUUUCCCUGUGGGUCAUAGUCAUACCUUCUGAUGAAGUUGAGCCAACACCAGCAAAGUGUAAUGGUCGUGCAGCCUCCGACUAUACUGAGACUGCACUCUAGGCUGAACCAUGCUGAAAGCCCAUGCUUAAAUAAAAAUUAUGUCUAAAAUCUGU
RNAcentral lists this long non-coding RNA (1470 nucleotides) under Rattus norvegicus (Norway rat). RNAcentral describes it as "long non-coding RNA NONRATT020157". Lineage: Eukaryota; Metazoa; Chordata; Mammalia; Rodentia; Muridae. The record is from RNAcentral.